This 490-nucleotide ribosomal RNA is filed under the name uncultured bacterium. RNAcentral describes it as "partial 16S ribosomal RNA". It matches the Rfam family "Bacterial small subunit ribosomal RNA", at positions 30 to 507 of the family's 1533-position model. The record is from RNAcentral.
AUUGAACGCUGGCGGCAGGCCUAACACAUGCAAGUCGAACGGUAACAGGAAGAAGCUUGCUUCUUUGCUGACGAGUGGCGGACGGGUGAGUAAUGUCUGGGAAACUGCCUGAUGGAGGGGGAUAACUACUGGAAACGGUAGCUAAUACCGCAUAACGUCGCAAGACCAAAGAGGGGGACCUUCGGGCCUCUUGCCAUCGGAUGUGCCCAGAUGGGAUUAGCUAGUAGGUGGGGUAACGGCUCACCUAGGCGACGAUCCCUAGCUGGUCUGAGAGGAUGACCAGCCACACUGGAACUGAGACACGGUCCAGACUCCUACGGGAGGCAGCAGUGGGGAAUAUUGCACAAUGGGCGCAUGCCUGAUGCAGCCAUGCCGCGUGUAUGAAGAAGGCCUUCGGGUUGUAAAGUACUUUCAGCGGGGAGGAAGGGAGUAAAGUUAAUACCUUUGCUCAUUGACGUUACCCGCAGAAGAAGCACCGGCUAACUCCGUG